UACGUAGGGACCGAGCGUUGUCCGGAAUCAUUGGGCGUAAAGAGCUCGUAGGCGGUCUGUCGCGUCGAUCGUGAAAACUUGGGGCUUAACCCUGAGCUUGCGGUCGAUACGGGCAUGACUGGAGUUCGGCAGGGGAGACUGGAAUUCCUGGUGUAGCGGUGAAAUGCGCAGAUAUCAGGAGGAACACCGGUGGCGAAGGCGGGUCUCUGGGCCGAUACUGACGCUGAGGAGCGAAAGCGUGGGGAGCGAACAGG
This 254-nucleotide ribosomal RNA is filed under the name uncultured bacterium. RNAcentral describes it as "partial 16S ribosomal RNA". It matches the Rfam family "Bacterial small subunit ribosomal RNA", at positions 524 to 776 of the family's 1533-position model. The record is from RNAcentral.